RNAcentral lists this long non-coding RNA (1104 nucleotides) under Heterocephalus glaber (naked mole-rat). RNAcentral's name for it is "lncRNA (ENSHGLG00100047261.1)". Lineage: Eukaryota; Metazoa; Chordata; Mammalia; Rodentia; Bathyergidae. The record is from RNAcentral.
GAAGAAGUAGAGAUGGGGGCCAGGCAGGGAGGAAGGAAGGCUCUCCCGGCUGGCAGGAAGUAGAUUCAGGACUCUGCCUCAAGCCAGAAGACAAGCAGCUCCCGCUACCAGGAUCCUUCUUGGGAUGAGAAAUCCUUGCAACGAGGUCAGAACUCUGAAGUGUGUGGAGGACCAGAGCUGUCUGUGUCCUCAUCCCGGAGGCCGGAAAUGUGCUCCCCCAUUCUCUUCUGCUAUUUGAUGACCUCACAGUGACACAUGCUAGACGCCUCCCUUGACCUUCCCAGCUGAAGGUCAUGCCUCCUUCCUUUGAAUCUCAACAGCACUUCUGGCUUGUUUUCAUGACCUCACCCUGAGGUGAGGUUUCUGUGAUUUACUGUUUUGUACAAGUUCAUCUCCUUGCCAAGAGGAAGCACCCGUCACCUUUGAAUGGUCUGGGUGCCCUGGUAGAGCCAAAGUGACAGAAAGAUAAACAACAGACUUGGGAGGGACAGGACUGCACCUCUAAAGCAAUUAGUAGCUAAUCCGUACUUUUAGGGGAAGGGGGGUUCGGUGGAAUUUUUGUUCUAAUUGUUAUAGCUGUGUCUAGAUGUUCCCCCCAAAACCUCCUGUGGUCAUAGUGGGCUUUUUGGUGGUGGCUGGAUCUAGGGUGUGAUGCUGGGAUUGAUUCAGGGUGCGAUGCUAGGACUAAGGCUGCCCCUCCCUGAAUAUGAGUGCUGCCUAUCCCGAGGAUGGGUAGCCUGGAUAAGAUACAAGGGACAGAAAGAGGGUCGCUGUUUGUCGCUUGUCAUUUGCUGCUUGCUACUUCACUGCUGGCUGCUUUCUCCCCACCAUGGACUGUUUCUCCUCUGCGAUGCCCUCUGCCAUGCCACCCGCCUUGGAGCCAGACGACUACAGACUGAAACCUCCUCAAACUCUGAGGCAAAUAAACCUCUCCUUCUUAUUAACUUUGGGUGUCAGGUGUUUUGUCUCAGCAACGAGAAAAGUAACUAAGACACCAAUUAAAUCUAACCUCAGACCUGGAUAGAUAAUAUUUUGGGAUAGAUAUCCUCUCAUUUCAGAACAAUCUGUUGUUUCACAAGACUAUCCCUUUUCCAUUGAAUUACC